This 440-nucleotide ribosomal RNA is filed under the name uncultured bacterium. RNAcentral's name for it is "partial 16S ribosomal RNA". It matches the Rfam family "Bacterial small subunit ribosomal RNA", at positions 338 to 795 of the family's 1533-position model. The record is from RNAcentral.
CCUACGGGUGACAGCAGUGAGGGAUAUUGCACAAUGGACGGAACUCUGAAGCAGCCACGCCGCGUGCGGGAAGACGUAUUUCUGAGUGUAAAGCUGUAUCAGCACGGAAGAAAAUGACGGUACCUGACUCAGAAGCCCCGGAUAACUACGUGCCGGCAGCCGCGAUACUACGGAGGGAGCGAGCGUUAUCCGGAUUUACUGGGUGUAGAGGGAGCGUAGACGGCUGGUCAAGUCUGAAGUGAAAGCCCGGGGCUUAACUCCGGAACGGCUUUUGAAACUGAGCAGCUAGAGUGCUGGAGAGGUAAGCGGAAUGCAUGGUGUAGCGGUGAAAUGCGUAGAGAUUAUGAGGAACACCAGUGGCGAAGGCAGCUUACUAGACAAUAACUGACGUUGAGGCUCGAAAGCGUGGGGAGCAAACAGGAUUAGAUACCCUAGUAGUC